AGCAUAAAAACACACUUUUACAUUCAUAAUAAAGAAAAUUUUCAUAACAUAUAGUAUUUUCUAAAAAAUUCACACAAUAAUCACCGCAAGGGCUAACAUCUAGCUUUCCAAAGAAAUGAUAAUCACACAUCCCUUUUGCAUCAUGGAGAAGCAACAAAAAAAUAGAAAACUAAACUCCCGAAUGACUAUGAGCUACUAAUCCUUAAAAAUCAAUGUUUCAUAAUUGAUAAAGUAACUCUUAGUAGAAGUAACAAGCCUUCCAUAUAGUCAUAUAGCUGGUUCUUCUUUAAAAGCAUCAAAGUGCCGACUUAUAGUCGAAUAAUUCACAUUUUUACACAACACUAUAAAGUUUAAUUUACUGAGGAUUAGCUCAGUAAAAACUAAAAAUAACUUACUAUCAAACCCCCAAUAGUAGGCUUAAAAGCAGCCAUCAAAUAGCGUUUUAGCUAAUAAAAUUUUUUAUUAAAUAUAUACUUUACAUUAUUUUAAACUUAAAGAAGUUUAACAAAAAACCUCACAUGUUAAUAAACAGGCAUUCUAUUAGUAUUAAACUACAUUUACAAAUCAAAACUUUAAAAAGAUCUGACUCAAUAAAUCCUACAUCUGUAAAACUACACAAAGCGAAUUCAGCAAACAAAUUCCCUGCCUGUUUAUCAAAAACAUCGUCUUUUGACCAUAUAAAUAAAAGAUAAUGCCUGCCCAGUGAAUUUUAAACGGCCGCGUUAGCGUGAGCGUGCUAAGGUAGCGUAAUAAUUAGCCUUUUAAUUGGAGGCCAGUGAAUGGCAAGACUAGGAAUGCCUGUACUUUGUGUACAAAAAAAACUUUUCAUCUAAGUGAAAAGACUUAGAUAAUGAAGGAAGACGAAAAGACCCCGCGGAACUUUACCUUUUCUAGUACCUCUGUCUACAAACUUAAAGCUACAUAAGGUUUGAUUGGGGCAAUCUUGGAACCAACAAAGCUUCCAAUUUUUUUAAAACAACAUUUAAAAUUUACUAAAGACCAAAAAGUAGUUACCCCGGGGAUAACAGCGUAAUUCAACUUAAGAGUACAUAUCGAAAGUUGGGUUUGCGACCUCGAUGUUGGCUUAAGGAUAUCCACAUUAGUGCAACCGCUAUGACAGGACAGUCUGUUCGACUAUUAUACCCUUACACGAGCUGAGUUAAGACCGGCGCAAGCUAGGUUGGUUUCUAUCUCCUUUAUACAAAAAUCUUCUUGAUUGUACGAAAGGACCCCAAGAGGUGCAGCUAACAAAAGCACAUACUAAAUAUAAACUACAAUAAUUCAAUAACC
RNAcentral lists this ribosomal RNA (1290 nucleotides) under Lepidodesma languilati. RNAcentral's name for it is "16S ribosomal RNA". The stretch from base 851 to 1200 matches the Rfam family "Archaeal large subunit ribosomal RNA", at positions 2147 to 2719 of the family's 2987-position model. Lineage: Eukaryota; Metazoa; Mollusca; Bivalvia; Unionida; Unionidae. The record is from RNAcentral.